Molecule: ribosomal RNA, 281 nt
Filed under: uncultured Glomus
Lineage: Eukaryota; Fungi; Glomeromycota; Glomeromycetes; Glomerales; Glomeraceae
Description: partial 18S small subunit ribosomal RNA
Rfam family: Eukaryotic small subunit ribosomal RNA
Source: RNAcentral
CCAAUAGCGUAUAUUAAAGUUGUUGCAGUUAAAAAGCUCGUAGUUGAAUUUCGGGGUCAGUAGGUUGGUCAUGCCACUGGUAUGUACUGGUCUCACUGAUUCCUCCUUCCUGAUGAGCCGUAAUGCCAUUAAUUUGGUGUUGCGAGGAAUCUGGACUGCUACUUUGAAAAAAUUAGAGUGUUUAAAGCAGGCUAACGCUUGAAUACAUUAGCAUGGAAUAAUGAAAUAGGACGUUCGAUCUUAUUUUGUUGGUUUCUAAGAUUGACGUAAUGAUUAAUAGG